GAUGAAGAACGCAGUGAAAUGCGAUAAGUAAUGUGAAUUGCAGAAUUCAGUGAAUCAUCGAAUCUUUGAACGCACCUUGCACCCUAUGGUAUUCCGAAGGGUAUGCUCGUUUGAGUGUCAUUGUACUCUCACACUUCUAAUUUCUUUCGGGAUUGGGAGCGGUGGACUUGGGUGUUGCUGCUUUAGUUGUGGCUCACCUCAAAUAAGUUAGUGCAACUCUUGGUUGGACAUAGUACGGCGUGAUAAGUGUCUUCGCCGGCGCCUCUGUAAGGAGGGUGGCCGAUCGGGAGCUCUGUGCUUCAAACCGUCUUCGGACAAUCUUUGACAACUUGACCUCAAAUCGAGUAGGACUACCCGCUGAACUUAAGCAUAUCAAUAAGCGGAGGA
Molecule: unclassified non-coding RNA, 387 nt
Filed under: soil metagenome
Description: partial contains 5.8S ribosomal RNA, internal transcribed spacer 2, and large subunit ribosomal RNA
Rfam family: 5.8S ribosomal RNA (bases 1-120)
Source: RNAcentral